ACACUGUGGUUGGGUGCUCGUCGUGCAGGUCGAGCGAACAGAUAAGGAGCUUGCUCCUUUGACGUUAGCGGCGGACGGGUGAGUAACACGUGGAUAACCUACCUAUAAGACUGGGAUAACUUCGGGAAACCGGAGCUAAUACCGGAUAACAUAUUGAACCGCAUGGUUCAAUAGUGAAAGGCGGCUUUGCUGUCACUUAUAGAUGSAUCCSSSCCGUAUUAAGCGUAGUUKGUARRGUAACGGCUYACCAAGGCAMYGAUAUCGUAGCCGACYUGAGAGGGUGAUCGGCCACACUGGAACUGAGACACSGUCCAGACUCCUACGGGAGGCAGCAGUAGGGAAUCUUCCGCAAUGGGCGAAAGCCUGACGGAGCAACGCCGCKKGAGUGAUGAAGGUCUUCGGAUCGUAAAACUCUGUUAUCAGGGAAGAACAAAUGUGUAAGUAACUGUGCACAUCUUGACGGUACCUGAUCAGAAAGCCACGGCUAACUACGUGCCAGCAGCCGCGGUAAUACGUAGGUGGCAAGCGUUAUCCRGAAUUAUUGGGCGUAAAGCGCGCGUAGGCGGUUUUUUAAGUCUGAUGUGAAAGCCCACGGCUCAACCGUGGAGGGUCAUUGGAAACUGGAAAACUUGAGUGCAGAAGAGGAAAGUGGAAUUUCCAUGUGUAGCGGUGAAAUGCGCAGAGAUAUGGAGGAACACCAGUGGCGAARGCGACUUUCUGGUCUGUAACUGACGCUGAUGUGCGAAAGCGUGGGGAUCAAACAGGAUUAGAUACCCUGGUAGUCCACGCCGUAAACGAUGAGUGCUAAGUGUUAGGGGGUUUCCGCCCCUUAGUGCUGCAGCUAACGCAUUAAGCACUCCGCCUGGGGAGUACGACCGCAAGGUUGAAACUCAAAGGAAUUGACGGGGACCCGCACAAGCGGUGGAGCAUGUGGUUUAAUUCGAAGCAACGCGAAGAACCUUACCAAAUCUUGACAUCCUUUGACYGCUCUAGAGAUAGAGUCUUCCYCUUCGGGGGACAAAGUGACAGGUGGUGCAUGGUUGUCGUCAGCUCGUGUCGUGAGAUGUUGGGUUAAGUCCCGCAACGAGCGCAACCCUUAAGCUUAGUUGCCAUCAUUAAGUUGGGCACUCUAAGUUGACUGCCGGUGACAAACCGGAGGAAGRUGGGGAUGACKUCAAAUCAUCAUGSCCCUUAYGAUUUGGGCUACACACGUGCUACAWUGSACAAUACAAAGGGCAGCUAAACCGCGARGUCAAGCAARUCCCAUAAAGUUGUUCUCAGUUCGGAUUGUAGUCUGCAACUCGACUACAUGAAGCUGGAAUCGCUAGUAAUCGUAGAUCAGCAUGCUACGGUGAAUACGUUCCCGGGUCUUGUACACACCGCCCGUCACACCACGAGAGUUUGUAACACCCGAAGCCGGUGGAGUAACCAUUUAUGAGCUCGCUUUUAGAACCGGGCGACCAGAGCUA
This 1469-nucleotide ribosomal RNA is filed under the name Staphylococcus sp. RNAcentral's name for it is "bacterial SSU rRNA". The record is from RNAcentral. Lineage: Bacteria; Bacillati; Bacillota; Bacilli; Caryophanales; Staphylococcaceae.